ACGGAAGGCAGCAGUGGGGAAUAUUGCACAAUGGGCGAAAGCCUGAUGCAGCGACGCCGCGUGAGCGAAGGAGUUAUUCGUAAUGUAAAGCUCUAUCAGCAGGGAAGAAAAUGACGGUACCUGACUAAGAAGCUCCGGCUAAAUACGUGCCAGCAGCCGCGGUAAUACGUAUGGAGCAAGCAUUAUCCGGAUUUACUGGGUGUGAAGGGAGCGUAGACGGAUGUGCAAGUCUGAUGUGAAAGGCUGCGGCUUAACUGCAGGACUGCAUUGGAAACUGUACAUCUGGAGUGCCGGAGAGGUAAGCGGAAUUCCUAGUGUAGCGGUGAAAUGCGUAGAUAUUAGGAAGAACACCAGUGGCGAAGGCGGCUUUCUGGACUGUAACUGACAUUGAGGCUCGAAAGCGUGGGGAGCAAACAGGAUUAGAUACCCUGGUA
This 434-nucleotide ribosomal RNA is filed under the name uncultured Lachnospiraceae bacterium. Its description in RNAcentral is "bacterial SSU rRNA". It matches the Rfam family "Bacterial small subunit ribosomal RNA", at positions 341 to 792 of the family's 1533-position model. The record is from RNAcentral. Lineage: Bacteria; Bacillati; Bacillota; Clostridia; Lachnospirales; Lachnospiraceae.